AGCCUUUCGAAAGAAAGAUUAAUACCGGAUAGCAUACGAAUAUCGCAUGAUAUUUUUAUUAAAGAAUUUCGGUUAUCGAUGGGGAUGCGUUCCAUUAGUUUGUUGGCGGGGUAACGGCCCACCAAGACUACGAUGGAUAGGGGUUCUGAGAGGAAGGUCCCCCACAUUGGAACUGAGACACGGUCCAAACUCCUACGGGAGGCAGCAGUGAGGAAUAUUGGUCAAUGGGCGCAGGCCUGAACCAGCCAAGUAGCGUGAAGGAUGAAGGCUCUAUGGGUCGUAACCUUCUUUUAUAUGGGAAUAAAGUUUUCCACGUGUGGAAUUUUGUAUGUACCAUAUGAAUAAGGAUCGGCUAACUCCGUGCCAGCAGCCGCGGUAAUACGGAGGAUCCGAGCGUUAUCCGGAUUUAUUGGGUUUAAAGGGAGCGUAGGUGGAUUGUUAAGUCAGUUGUGAAAGUUUGCGGCUCAACCGUAAAAUUGCAGUUGAAACUGGCAGUCUUGAGUACAGUAGAGGUGGGCGGAAUUCGUGGUGUAGCGGUGAAAUGCUUAGAUAUCACGAAGAACUCCGAUUGCGA
This 574-nucleotide ribosomal RNA is filed under the name uncultured Bacteroidales bacterium. RNAcentral describes it as "bacterial SSU rRNA". It matches the Rfam family "Bacterial small subunit ribosomal RNA", at positions 145 to 718 of the family's 1533-position model. The record is from RNAcentral. Lineage: Bacteria; Pseudomonadati; Bacteroidota; Bacteroidia; Bacteroidales.